CAUCCCUCCUACAGACUGUCCUUCUGUAAGAAACAGUGAGAACAGGGCAGUACACAAAACUGUGCCCAUAGGACUGACUACCUGGGCUUUCACAUUCUCAAAUCCUUUCUCCAGAGCAAACGCCAGUAUUCCUUGUUGAAAGAACAUAAGAAAGCUUGCCUUUUCUUUUGAAUCCCAGCAGUAAACUUGGUGGCAGCAGCACCUGUGGACCAUGUAAUGCCUCCUGGUGAAAACUCUUGCACAAUACAUGAACUGUCAUCUUUUUAGUCUUAGAGUGAUAUCUUGAGGAAGAUACUCGACCCAGCAAAAUGGAGGCUUUUAGGGAGAGGGGCAUCUUUCAUUCUCGCGCACGCUUGCUGAACCACUGCGCAUCAGAAGACUGAAGUGGAGAGUGACCCAGUCCCGAACGGAUCAUGGCUCAGAGUAAAUGGAGACAUCCAGGCCCAGAAGAAUUAACAGGAUUUUUGCUGGGUUUUCUGUCCCGGGGACUGAUCAGUGCUCAGAUGCAGCUAGCAGAGCUGUAGCUGCACCAGAACCCACUAAUGGGAGUGCUGGCUCACUCACCACGAGUAGCCCUCAUCAUCUCCAUUGUGUCUUCCCUGCAAGGAGAGAAGAGCUUCAAAAAUUUGUACCUAGUUGCAAAGCGGCAAGGAACCUAUCUGAACUGCUAGUGCAGUUUGGCAGUAGAAGGCAGCUGUUGUUUCUACAAUUGGAUUUCUAGCUUGUCACUCUUUUUUCAGGGGAAUACAAGUGAACAAGCCCUCAAACCUUAAGCCGUCUUUUGUACUUAUGUUAUAACACAGGGGACAGAAUAAUUUGUAUGUUUGAGUAGAUCAUAAUUUCAGUGGAAGUAUUGCUACCAUGGCUAUCUGAGCAUUUGUUUCCUUCUCAGAUUUGGAUUAACAUUAAUUGAAUGUAAUAUCUCACUGUAAUCAGGUAUUUGCUUCUUUGUAAUUGUUUCCUGUCUUUAUUUUUUUCUUUGUUGACUGCUAGAUCUUGUUAAAAUAUUCUGUUGACUCAAUUACAUCAUACAAUUCAUUCUACCUGGGGCAUUAAUAAAAGAAUAAUAUAAGAAAAGUGAAAAAAGUAA
Molecule: long non-coding RNA, 1090 nt
Filed under: Struthio camelus australis
Lineage: Eukaryota; Metazoa; Chordata; Aves; Struthioniformes; Struthionidae
Description: lncRNA (ENSSCUG00000008758.1)
Source: RNAcentral